GAUACACUCGCGUUCACACACACUCCUGUCUGCACAGUCGAAGGAGAAACAGACCCACGGGACGAGACGAGGAGUGGGGGGACACAGACAAACACUGAGAAAGAUAGAGCGUGGGGGGGGGCGACAACUGUGAAGUUCGACUUCAGAGUGUGACCCUGGAGAGCAUAAGGACAGUGACAUUGAGACAGAGGAGACGAGUACAAACUGUACUCUCAGAGGGGCACUUCACACUCACUUCACAGCAACUCCUGCAACCUGUUGAUCGGGACAGAUAUUCACACGGAGCGACAGUAAAGUGGGCCUGCUGUUCAAAUGGAAUAUUGCCCUGAUCUUAGGUCUGCAACUGUGGACCGGCUCUAUUACAAAGAUGUGCACACUCACAUUCUGUAAUGAAACACGUUACUUGGAUUUAUGCCUGGCGUCUUAUUGCAUUUACAGACCAUAAAUGUCUUCACCUUAUAAGGUACUUUGACCAACAAUGUAUGUAAAAAGAAAGAAAUAUGUUCAAAUGCAUUCUUGUUAUAAACUGUUUCUUAAUAAGGUCUGAGGAAAAAUGUGUUUCACCGUUUUUGAUUUCUUUUGAUUUCUUUUUCAGGUUUCAAAGCUUUUUUGUGUCGGUUUUAUGCCUGUUGUUGGUACCAUUUUUUGUGAAA
Long non-coding RNA from Gymnodraco acuticeps, 653 nucleotides. RefSeq lists it as uncharacterized. The record is from RefSeq and is a predicted model, not a curated record. The transcript has 3 exons. NCBI's taxonomy places the organism in Eukaryota, Metazoa, Chordata, Actinopteri, Perciformes, Bathydraconidae.